RNAcentral lists this ribosomal RNA (195 nucleotides) under uncultured bacterium. RNAcentral's name for it is "partial 16S ribosomal RNA". It matches the Rfam family "Bacterial small subunit ribosomal RNA", at positions 338 to 524 of the family's 1533-position model. The record is from RNAcentral.
CCUACGGGAGGCAGCAGUGAGGAAUUUUGCGCAAUGGGGGAAACCCUGACGCAGCAAUGCCGCGUGAGUGAAGAAGGCCUUCGGGUCGUAAAGCUCUGUCAGAUGGGAAGAAAUGAGUGUACAUUAAUAGUGUACGUUUUUGACGGUACCCUCAAAGGAAGCACCGGCUAACUCCGUGCCAGCAGCCGCGGUAAU